AUCAACUUUCGAUGGUAGGAUAGAGGCCUACCAUGGUGGUAACGGGUAACGGGGUGUUAGGGCACGACACCGGAGAGGGAGCCUGAGAAACGGCUACCACAUCCAAGGAUGGCAGCAGGCGCGCAAAUUACCCAAUCCCGACACGGGGAGGUAGUGACAAUAAAUAACAAUACGGGGUUCUUUCGGAUUUCGUAAUUGGAAUGAGUACAAUUUAAAUCUCUUAACGAGGAACAAUUGGAGGGCAAGUCUGGUGCCAGCAGCCGCGGUAAUUCCAGCUCCAAUAGCGUAUAUUAAAGUUGCUGCAGUUAAAAAGCUCGUAGUUGAAUUUCGGGACUAAUAUGUUGGUCGUGCCUCGGUACGUACUGGUAUUUUUGGUUUCUCCCUUCUGACGAACCUUGAUGUCAUUAAUUUGGUGUCUUGGGAAAUCAGGACUGUUACUUUGAAAAAAUUAGAGUGUUUAAAGCAGGCUCACGCUUGAAUACAUUAGCAUGGAAUAAUGAAAUAGGACGUUUGAUUCUAUUUUGUUGGUUUCUAGGAUCGACGUAAUGAUUAAUAGGGAUAGUUGGGGGCAUUAGUAUUCAAUUGUCAGAGGUGAAAUUCUUGGAUUUAUUGAAGACUAACUACUGCGAAAGCAUUUGCCAAGGAUGUUUUCAUUAAUCAAGAACGAAAGUUAGGGGAUCGAAGACGAUCAGAUACCGUCGUAGUCUUAACCAUAAACUAUGCCGACUAGGGAUCGGAUGAUGUUAAUUUUUUAAUGACUCAUUCGGCGCCUUACGGGAAACCAAAGUGUUUGGGUUC
This 798-nucleotide ribosomal RNA is filed under the name uncultured Glomeromycotina. Its description in RNAcentral is "SSU rRNA". It matches the Rfam family "Eukaryotic small subunit ribosomal RNA", at positions 314 to 1114 of the family's 1831-position model. Lineage: Eukaryota; Fungi; Glomeromycota. The record is from RNAcentral.